AGAGUUUGAUCCUGGCUCAGGACGAACGCUGGCGGCGUGCUUAACACAUGCAAGUCGAGCGGUAAGGCCCCUUCGGGGGUACACGAGCGGCGAACGGGUGAGUAACACGUGAGCAACCUACCCUCAACUUCGGGAUAAGCCUCGGAAACGGGGUCUAAUACCGGAUAUCACCGCAUUCUUCAUGGUUUGUGGUUGAAAGUUCUGGCGGUUGGGGAUGGGCUCGCGGCCUAUCAGCUUGUUGGUGGGGUAAUGGCCUACCAAGGCGUCGACGGGUAGCCGGCCUGAGAGGGCGACCGGCCACACUGGGACUGAGACACGGCCCAGACUCCUACGGGAGGCAGCAGUGGGGAAUAUUGCGCAAUGGACGAAAGUCUGACGCAGCAACGCCGCGUGAGGGAUGACGGCCUUCGGGUUGUAAACCUCUUUCAGCAGGGACGAAGCGAGAGUGACGGUACCUGCAGAAGAAGGACCGGCCAACUACGUGCCAGCAGCCGCGGUAAUACGUAGGGUCCGAGCGUUGUCCGGAAUUAUUGGGCGUAAAGGGCUCGUAGGCGGUUCGUCACGUCGGGAGUGAAAACUCGGAGCUUAACUCCGAGCCUGCUUCCGAUACGGGCAGACUAGAGGUAGGCAGGGGAGAGCGGAACUCCUGGUGUAGCGGUGGAAUGCGCAGAUAUCAGGAAGAACACCGGUGGCGAAGGCGGCUCUCUGGGCCUUACCUGACGCUGAGGAGCGAAAGCGUGGGUAGCGAACAGGAUUAGAUACCCUGGUAGUCCACGCCGUAAACGUUGGGCGCUAGGUGUGGGGGACAUUCCACGUCCUCCGUGCCGCAGCUAACGCAUUAAGCGCCCCGCCUGGGGAGUACGGCCGCAAGGCUAAAACUCAAAGGAAUUGACGG
This 895-nucleotide ribosomal RNA is filed under the name uncultured bacterium. RNAcentral's name for it is "bacterial SSU rRNA". It matches the Rfam family "Bacterial small subunit ribosomal RNA", at positions 8 to 916 of the family's 1533-position model. The record is from RNAcentral.